This 102-nucleotide ribosomal RNA is filed under the name Chrysosporium sp. CCF3790. RNAcentral's name for it is "partial 28S ribosomal RNA". Lineage: Eukaryota; Fungi; Ascomycota; Eurotiomycetes; Onygenales; Onygenaceae. The record is from RNAcentral.
GGGAAUCUCUUAUCGCUCAAAGACCCAAUCGGCGCUGAUGUCAGAUUUUUAUCCAGUUUGACCUCGGAUCAGGUAGGAGUACCCGCUGAACUUAAGCAUAUC